Molecule: ribosomal RNA, 433 nt
Filed under: uncultured bacterium
Lineage: Bacteria
Description: partial 16S ribosomal RNA
Rfam family: Bacterial small subunit ribosomal RNA
Source: RNAcentral
AACGAACGCUGGCGGCAGGCCUAACACAUGCAAGUCGAGCGAGGACUUCGGUUCGAGCGGCGGACGGGUGAGUAACGCGUGGGAAUGUGCCCUUCUCUACGGAAUAGCCCUGGGAAACUGGGAGUAAUACCGUAUACGCCCUAUUGGGGAAAGAUUUAUCGGAGAAGGAUCAGCCCGCGUUGGAUUAGGUAGUUGGGGGGGUAAUGGCCUACCAAGCCGACGAUCCAUAGCUGGUGUGAGAGGAUGAUCAGCCACACUGGGACUGAGACACGGCCCAGACUCCUACGCGAGGCAGCAGUGGGGAAUCUUAGACAAUGGGGGCAAGCCUGAUCUAGCCAUGCCGGGUGAGUGAUGAAGGCCUUAGGGUUGUAAAGCUCUUUAAGCUGGGAAGAUAAUGACGGUACCAGAAGAAGAAGCCCCGGCUAACUACGUG